Molecule: transfer RNA, 72 nt
Filed under: Phrynosoma platyrhinos (Desert horned lizard)
Lineage: Eukaryota; Metazoa; Chordata; Lepidosauria; Squamata; Phrynosomatidae
Description: tRNA-OTHER
Source: RNAcentral
GCCAGUGUAGUAUAGUGGCUUGAGUGUUGGACUAUGACUCUGGAGACCAGGGUUCAAUUCCCUGCCUGGACA